This 1037-nucleotide long non-coding RNA is filed under the name Salvia miltiorrhiza (redroot sage). Its description in RNAcentral is "long non-coding RNA (SMIL_LNC010347)". The record is from RNAcentral. Lineage: Eukaryota; Viridiplantae; Streptophyta; Magnoliopsida; Lamiales; Lamiaceae.
CGAGUUACAACCUUAAUGAGGAGGCAUAAGUCGCAUACAUCUAGGCCAGCCUCUCUAAUUGAAGCACAUCCCGGAAAACUCUCUCUUUCUCUCUCGCACACACAAAACAAACAGGACUCUAUUCGGUAACAUUUUACCUCAAAAUCGAAAAAAUUAAAGAUGAACAUCCAAAGAGAAACCGGAAAUCUGAAAAAUAAACCUGCCAAUUGCGAGGAGCCCAUUUCCACAAUACAAGCAGCAACUUACCCAUUAAUGGAUACCUUUAAUUACGAAUUCUAGUCAGAGUCUUAAGCAUAAUAUUCAUAAAACUAAGCACAGCAAUAUCACGCACAGAGAAAGAGAAAGAAAAUUGAAAUUACUCAGCAGGGGAAGACAUGAUGAAUCUAGAAAACGAGUUCGAUCGAAAUCAAGCUAAACAUAAAACUAACCUCAAGGAGCAGCGGCUAAGUCGAGAACAGACCGGAAGAGCAGUGCACGUGCUGCCCUCCGAUUGAAGCAGCUAAUUCUGCUCCUGCCUCGUCUGGUGUACAGCAAGGUAAACCAGAGCAGCGUGGCAGCGACCGGAGAAAGCUUGACAGCAGCGUCGUUUCUGGAGUACAGCAGCAGCUCUAAGCAGCGGCGAAGUAUGGCGCUAAGGGGAUCAGAAAAACACUCAGAGUAGCGUCGUUUUUCGUUGCUUGCUGACCGGCGGAGAUUGUGGCGGCGGCGGCGGCGAGGAAACCUACGAUUUUAUGAUUGGAGAGAGGCGACAGAGGACGUGGUUUGUGGCUGCGUUGACUGUUGAUACGGCGGCAGCGCAAGGAACGAGUGGCGUUGGUCGGGGUGAGUCGGCGCCGGAGAGAUCGUAGGCGGCAGAUUUGGGAAGAAGAAGAUAGGUGGCAGAUUUGGGAAGAAGGUGGUAGGCGCGCGCACAUUUGGGGUUAAUUAGGGCUAAUGUGUUUGAACUCAAACUGACUUCUCUUCUUUUCAUUUUUUUUUNUAAUUCUGAAUAAGCCUUUAAAACCGGUUUAAAAACGGUUUAAUAUGUUUAAUUAAAA